AUUUUGCAUUUCUUUUUCCAAGUAAGAAUGCACUUGCUCUCACUUGCUUCAAUACAUGUCUAGUGAUUCACGUGAAACAGAGAAAAAGAUAGACUGCCCUGUUAAUGAACAUGAGAUUGCCCAGUAUCACUCUGACAGAAGAGUAUGGUGUUUCCUUGAUAUGGUAUCUGGUCAGCAAUGUCAUUGGGACCAAAUGAAAGUUACUGCAGAUACCACACAGAAGCAAUUACUGUUACUGGAAUACCAGUAAUGUUUAUUAAAUUCAGUUGUAAAGCAGUUCUGGGCAUUGCAGCUGGUGAGCAAUGUCAUUGGGCACCAAAAGAAGUUCAGUUAUGAUGGAUUUCUGGCCUUCAGUCCAUGGGAAAAUUCACACCAGAUUGCAUCAAGACUGUUAUAUUCCAAGGAUAUCUUGGAAGAUUGAUAGUAUUCCUGAACGAAAAC
Molecule: long non-coding RNA, 441 nt
Organism: Schistocerca nitens (vagrant locust)
Lineage: Eukaryota; Metazoa; Arthropoda; Insecta; Orthoptera; Acrididae
Exons: 3
Source: RefSeq, a predicted model, not a curated record